Molecule: ribosomal RNA, 916 nt
Filed under: uncultured Porphyromonadaceae bacterium
Lineage: Bacteria; Pseudomonadati; Bacteroidota; Bacteroidia; Bacteroidales; Porphyromonadaceae
Description: bacterial SSU rRNA
Rfam family: Bacterial small subunit ribosomal RNA
Source: RNAcentral
AGAGUUUGAUCAUGGCUCAGGAUGAACGCUAGCGAUAGGCCUAACACAUGCAAGUCGAGGGGCAGCACAUGAAGUAGCAAUACGGAUGGUGGCGACCGGCGCACGGGUGAGUAACGCGUAUGCAACCUACCUACAACAGGGGGAUAACCCGUUGAAAGACGGACUAAUACCCCAUAAUACAGGGGUCCCGCAUGGGGAUAUUUGUUAAAGAUUAAUCGGUUGUAGAUGGGCAUGCGUUCCAUUAGCUGGUUGGUGAGGUAACGGCUCACCAAGGCAACGAUGGAUAGGGGAACUGAGAGGUUUAUCCCCCACACUGGUACUGAGACACGGACCAGACUCCUACGGGAGGCAGCAGUGAGGAAUAUUGGUCAAUGGACGCAAGUCUGAACCAGCCACGUCGCGUGAAGGAAGACGGCCCUACGGGUUGUAAACUUCUUUUGUAAGGGAAUAAAGUGAGUCACGUGUGACUUUUUGCAUGUACCUUACGAAUAAGGAUCGGCUAACUCCGUGCCAGCAGCCGCGGUAAUACGGAGGAUCCGAGCGUUAUCCGGAUUUAUUGGGUUUAAAGGGUGCGCAGGCGGGAGAUUAAGUCGGCGGUGAAAUUUUGCAGCUCAACUGUAAAAGUGCCAUCGAUACUGGUUUUCUUGAGUGUGGAUGAAGUAGGCGGAAUUUGUGGUGUAGCGGUGAAAUGCAUAGAUAUCACAAGGAACACCGAUUGCGCAGGCAGCUUACUAAACCAUAACUGACGCUCAGGCACGAAGGCGUGGGGAGCAAACAGGAUUAGAUACCCUGGUAGUCCACGCAGUAAACGAUGAUUACUAGCUGUUUGCGAUACAAUGUAAGCGGCUGAGCGAAAGCGUUAAGUAAUCCACCUGGGGAGUACGUUCGCAAGAAUGAAACUCAAAUGAAUUGACGG